AGAACGAACGCUGGCGGCAGGCCUAACACAUGCAAGUCGAACGCUCGUAGCAAUACGAGAGUGGCAGACGGGUGAGUAACGCGUGGGAACCUUCCCAGUGGUACGGAAUAGCUCAGGGAAACUUGAGGUAAUACCGUAUACGCCCCUCGGGGGAAAGAUUUAUCGCCAUUGGAUGGGCCCGCGUAGGAUUAGCUAGUUGGUGAGGUAACGGCUCACCAAGGCGACGAUCCUUAGCUGGUCUGAGAGGAUGAUCAGCCACACUGGGACUGAGACACGGCCCAGACUCCUACGGGAGGCAGCAGUGGGGAAUAUUGGACAAUGGGCGCAAGCCUGAUCCAGCCAUGCGCGUGAGUGACGAAGGCCUUAGGGUGUAAAGCUCUUUUGGCGGGAAGAUAAUGACGGUACCGCAGAAUAAGCUACCGGCUAACUUCGUCGCCAGCAGCCGC
This 446-nucleotide ribosomal RNA is filed under the name uncultured soil bacterium. RNAcentral describes it as "bacterial SSU rRNA". It matches the Rfam family "Bacterial small subunit ribosomal RNA", at positions 26 to 518 of the family's 1533-position model. The record is from RNAcentral.